This 2776-nucleotide ribosomal RNA is filed under the name Salmonella enterica subsp. enterica serovar Enteritidis. RNAcentral's name for it is "partial 23S ribosomal RNA". It matches the Rfam family "Bacterial large subunit ribosomal RNA". The record is from RNAcentral. Lineage: Bacteria; Pseudomonadati; Pseudomonadota; Gammaproteobacteria; Enterobacterales; Enterobacteriaceae.
GGUUAAGCGACUAAGCGUACACGGUGGAUGCCCUGGCAGUCAGAGGCGAUGAAGGGCGUGCUAAUCUGCGAUAAGCGCCGGUAAGGUGAUAUGAACCGUUAUAACCGGCGAUACCCGAAUGGGGAAACCCAGUGUGACUCGUCACACUAUCAUUAACUGAAUCCAUAGGUUAAUGAGGCGAACCGGGGGAACUGAAACAUCUAAGUACCCCGAGGAAAAGAAAUCAACCGAGAUUCCCCCAGUAGCGGCGAGCGAACGGGGAGGAGCCCAGAGCCUGAAUCAGCAUGUGUGUUAGUGGAAGCGUCUGGAAAGGCGCGCGAUACAGGGUGACAGCCCCGUACACAAAAGCGCAUGUGCUGUGAGCUCGAUGAGUAGGGCGGGACACGUGGUAUCCUGUCUGAAUAUGGGGGGACCAUCCUCCAAGGCUAAAUACUCCUGACUGACCGAUAGUGAACCAGUACCGUGAGGGAAAGGCGAAAAGAACCCCGGCGAGGGGAGUGAAAAAGAACCUGAAACCGUGUACGUACAAGCAGUGGGAGCACCCUUUGGGUGUGACUGCGUACCUUUUGUAUAAUGGGUCAGCGACUUAUAUUCUGUAGCAAGGUUAACCGAAUAGGGGAGCCGGAGGGAAACCGAGUCUUAACCGGGCGUUAAGUUGCAGGGUAUAGACCCGAAACCCGGUGAUCUAGCCAUGGGCAGGUUGAAGGUUGGGUAACACUAACUGGAGGACCGAACCGACUAAUGUUGAAAAAUUAGCGGAUGACCUGUGGCUGGGGGUGAAAGGCCAAUCAAACCGGGAGAUAGCUGGUUCUCCCCGAAAGCUAUUUAGGUAGCGCCUCGUGAAUUCAUCUCCGGGGGUAGAGCACUGUUUCGGCUAGGGGGCCAUCCCGGCUUACCAACCCGAUGCAAACUGCGAAUACCGGAGAAUGUUAUCACGGGAGACACACGGCGGGUGCUAACGUCCGUCGUGAAGAGGGAAACAACCCAGACCGCCAGCUAAGGUCCCAAAGUCAUGGUUAAGUGGGAAACGAUGUGGGAAGGCCCAGACAGCCAGGAUGUUGGCUUAGAAGCAGCCAUCAUUUAAAGAAAGCGUAAUAGCUCACUGGUCGAGUCGGCCUGCGCGGAAGAUGUAACGGGGCUAAACCAUGCACCGAAGCUGCGGCAGCGACACUGUGUGUUGUUGGGUAGGGGAGCGUUCUGUAAGCCUGCGAAGGUGGCCUGUGAGGGUUGCUGGAGGUAUCAGAAGUGCGAAUGCUGACAUAAGUAACGAUAAAGCGGGUGAAAAGCCCGCUCGCCGGAAGACCAAGGGUUCCUGUCCAACGUUAAUCGGGGCAGGGUGAGUCGACCCCUAAGGCGAGGCCGAAAGGCGUAGUCGAUGGGAAACGGGUUAAUAUUCCCGUACUUGGUGUUACUGCGAAGGGGGGACGGAGAAGGCUAUGUUGGCCGGGCGACGGUUGUCCCGGUUUAAGCGUGUAGGUGUGUGUUCCAGGUAAAUCCGGUUCACUUUAACACUGAGGCGUGACGACGAGGCACUACGGUGCUGAAGCAACAAAUGCCCUGCUUCCAGGAAAAGCCUCUAAGCAUCAGGUAACAUCAAAUCGUACCCCAAACCGACACAGGUGGUCAGGUAGAGAAUACCAAGGCGCUUGAGAGAACUCGGGUGAAGGAACUAGGCAAAAUGGUGCCGUAACUUCGGGAGAAGGCACGCUGACACGUAGGUGAAGUGAUUUACUCAUGGAGCUGAAGUCAGUCGAAGAUACCAGCUGGCUGCAACUGUUUAUUAAAAACACAGCACUGUGCAAACACGAAAGUGGACGUAUACGGUGUGACGCCUGCCCGGUGCCGGAAGGUUAAUUGAUGGGGUCAGCGCAAGCGAAGCUCCUGAUCGAAGCCCCGGUAAACGGCGGCCGUAACUAUAACGGUCCUAAGGUAGCGAAAUUCCUUGUCGGGUAAGUUCCGACCUGCACGAAUGGCGUAAUGAUGGCCAGGCUGUCUCCACCCGAGACUCAGUGAAAUUGAACUCGCUGUGAAGAUGCAGUGUACCCGCGGCAAGACGGAAAGACCCCGUGAACCUUUACUAUAGCUUGACACUGAACAUUGAGCCUUGAUGUGUAGGAUAGGUGGGAGGCUUUGAAGUGUGGACGCCAGUCUGCAUGGAGCCGACCUUGAAAUACCACCCUUUAAUGUUUGAUGUUCUAACGUGGACCCGUUACCCGGGUUGCGGACAGUGUCUGGUGGGUAGUUUGACUGGGGCGGUCUCCUCCUAAAGAGUAACGGAGGAGCACGAAGGUUGGCUAAUCCUGGUCGGACAUCAGGAGGUUAGUGCAAUGGCAUAAGCCAGCUUGACUGCGAGCGUGACGGCGCGAGCAGGUGCGAAAGCAGGUCAUAGUGAUCCGGUGGUUCUGAAUGGAAGGGCCAUCGCUCAACGGAUAAAAGGUACUCCGGGGAUAACAGGCUGAUACCGCCCAAGAGUUCAUAUCGACGGCGGUGUUUGGCACCUCGAUGUCGGCUCAUCACAUCCUGGGGCUGAAGUAGGUCCCAAGGGUAUGGCUGUUCGCCAUUUAAAGUGGUACGCGAGCUGGGUUUAGAACGUCGUGAGACAGUUCGGUCCCUAUCUGCCGUGGGCGCUGGAGAACUGAGGGGGGCUGCUCCUAGUACGAGAGGACCGGAGUGGACGCAUCACUGGUGUUCGGGUUGUCAUGCCAAUGGCACUGCCCGGUAGCUAAAUGCGGAAGAGAUAAGUGCUGAAAGCAUCUAAGCACGAAACUUGCCCCGA